GAUUAACGCUGGCGGCGUGCCUAACACAUGCAAGUCGAGCGGCAGCGAGUUUUACACUGAAUUCUGGAAGCUUCUAGUUGAAAGAGGAGAUUUAUUCAAGAAUUUUGUGUAAAAUGUCGGCGAGCGGCGGACGGCUGAGUAACGCGUGGGAACGUACCCCAAAGUGAGGGAUAACGCAUCGAAAGGUGUGCUAAUACCGCAUAUGGUCUUCGGAUUAAAGCCUUCGGGCGCUUUGGGAACGGCCUGCGUAAGAUUAGGUAGUUGGUGGGGUAAUGGCCUACCAAGUCGACGAUCUUUAACUGGUUUGAGAGGAUGAUCAGUCAGACUGGAACUGAGACACGGUCCAGACUCCUACGGGAGGCAGCAGUGAGGAAUCUUCCACAAUGGGCGAAAGCCUGAUGGAGCAACGCCGCGUGCAGGAUGAAGGCCUUCGGGUUGUAAACUGCUUUUAUAAGUGAGGAUUAUGACAGUAACUUAUGAAUAAGGAUCGGCUAACUACGUG
RNAcentral lists this ribosomal RNA (502 nucleotides) under uncultured bacterium. RNAcentral describes it as "partial 16S ribosomal RNA". It matches the Rfam family "Bacterial small subunit ribosomal RNA", at positions 28 to 507 of the family's 1533-position model. The record is from RNAcentral.